AAAUGCAUAUGUAAUUAGUUAAAUUUUAUGUAAUUAGUUAAAUUUAACUAAAUAAUUAAAUUAAACUA
Molecule: transfer RNA, 68 nt
Filed under: Potentilla multifida
Lineage: Eukaryota; Viridiplantae; Streptophyta; Magnoliopsida; Rosales; Rosaceae
Also listed under: 1 other name
Description: partial tRNA-Val
Source: RNAcentral